CUUCCCCUCUGUCGGUAGGCCUAGCACAUGCAAGUUGAACGGCAGCACAGUAAGAGCUUGCUCGUACGUGUGGCGAGUGGCGUACGGGUGAGGAAUACAUCGGAAUCUACUUUUUCGUGGGGGAUAACGUAGGGAAACUUACGCUAAUACCGCAUACGACAUACGGGUGAAAGCAGGGGAUCUUCGGACCUUGCGCGAUUGAAUGAGCCGAUGUCGGAUUAGCUCGUUGGCGGGGUAAAGGCCCACCAAGGCGACGAUCCGUAGCUGGUCUGAGAGGAUGAUCAGCCACACUGGACCUGAGAAACGGUCCAGACUCCUACGGGAGGCACCAGUGGGGAAUAUUGGCCAAUGGGCGCAAGCCUGAUCCAGCCAUACCGCGUGGGUGAAGAAGCCCUUCGGGUUGUAAAGCCCUUUUGUUGGGAAAGAAAAGCAGCAGGUUAAUACCCCGCUGUUCUGACGUUACCCACAGGAUAGGCACCGGCUAACUUCGUG
This 492-nucleotide ribosomal RNA is filed under the name uncultured bacterium. RNAcentral's name for it is "partial 16S ribosomal RNA". It matches the Rfam family "Bacterial small subunit ribosomal RNA", at positions 36 to 507 of the family's 1533-position model. The record is from RNAcentral.